CUCUCCUUAGCUCAGUUGGAAGAGCGCAAGGUACGCACAAGUACCUUCGACAUCACAGAUGUUGUUGCUGACUCUUCUUCCAGACUGUAAUGGCAAUAAACCCGUCUUCUGACAUCUUGAGGUCCCUGGUUCGAACCCGGGAGGGGAGA
Non-coding RNA from Elasticomyces elasticus, 149 nucleotides. The record is from the annotation of a GenBank genome assembly. NCBI's taxonomy places the organism in Eukaryota, Fungi, Ascomycota, Dothideomycetes, Mycosphaerellales, Teratosphaeriaceae.